RNAcentral lists this ribosomal RNA (253 nucleotides) under uncultured bacterium. RNAcentral's name for it is "partial 16S ribosomal RNA". It matches the Rfam family "Bacterial small subunit ribosomal RNA", at positions 524 to 776 of the family's 1533-position model. The record is from RNAcentral.
GACGUAGGGAGCGAGCGUUGUCCGGAUUCAUUGGGCGUAAAGCGCGCGUAGGCGGCCGCACAAGUCGGGUGUGAAAACCAGAGGCUCAACCUCUGGCCUGCAUCCGAAACUGUGUGGCUUGAGGUAGGUAGGGGAGAUCGGAAUUCCUGGUGUAGCGGUGGAAUGCGCAGAUAUCAGGAGGAACACCGGUGGCGAAGGCGGAUCUCUGGGCCUUACCUGACGCUGAGGUGCGAAAGCUAGGGGAGCGAACAGG